GAGCGAAUUCAAGGAUCAGAAGAGGUUUCUUAUCUUAGUAUAUUUAUUAUCAUUGCUUUUAUGUUAUUGCUUUGUUUUUUAUUCAACAACUUUUGGAUGUGAACCACUUUUUCACCAAAUUUAUGUAUGUUUUUCAUGAGAUUUUCCGUAACAUUUUUUUGGUAUGUGAUUCAUGAUUUUCUCAGAUUUAAUGUUCCAUAAUUGUCAUGGUAUCAUUCACACAGUAUGGAAUUGUGCUCCUGAAUCCUAAUAUACACAUUAACAUGUAUCACACGAUAUGCUUUUAUGGUAGAAGUGAAUUUAGAGAAAUAUAAGGAAAAAGAAUCUAACUUUGGCAGGGUUGUGUUGCAGAAAUUAAUGGUUGUUUGCACAAAAAUUCUGCUGAAGGCUUAGACUAUCUUAUUGUUUUGAGUCUGACUACAUGAAUCUCUUUUUCUCUGUUGUGCUUUAUUUAGGGCCAAAUUUACGUGCUGUUGCCUAAUUGUUUUCUACCAUUUCAACCCAUGCAAUUUUUAAUCUAUCAUUCUUGUUACUUGAAUUCACGCAUUCUUCUGUAUUUGUUGAUACUUAUUGGACAUGACUAAACAAUCUAAAACAACCCUUUAGGCUUUAGCUUAUAUUCAUGGGGUAUCAUGCUGUCUUCCUCUGAAUGGUUCCAUGUUUUUUUGUCUACUACUACUUUAUGUUUCCAUAUAUCUUUCUUAGGAUUUCACUUUGGGUCCACUCACUUUGUGGACAUGCUGUUUAUUGAAUACUUGCUCCUUUUUCAAAUGCUAAAAGUUAGGCUAGAAAAUAGACACAUGCAUUAGAUCAAUUUAUGCAGAAUAGAAAAGAUAAAAGAAUUAUUACAUCAUAAAGGCCCUGAGAUUUUCAGUCCUAAUGGAUGGAGAAUUGGAGAUGGUAAGGCAGCACAAGCUCAGUAUAACAAACGACAACGACAACAACAACAACAACUAAACCUUAAUCCUAAACUAGUUGUGGUUGACCAUGUGGAUUUUUUUUUGCCUUUUAGCUCUGUCACUGUCAGAAGCCAGGUCCACAUCAAUAUCCAAAACUUGCAAAUCCUUUAAUACUACUUCCCUCCACGUCAUCUUAGGCCUCCUCCUUCCUCUACUAAUUUAU
This 1122-nucleotide unclassified non-coding RNA is filed under the name Hevea brasiliensis (rubber tree). Lineage: Eukaryota; Viridiplantae; Streptophyta; Magnoliopsida; Malpighiales; Euphorbiaceae. The record is from RNAcentral.